GGGUUGUGAGGUUAAGCGACUAAGCGUACACGGUGGAUGCCCUGGCAGUCAGAGGCGAUGAAGGACGUGCUAAUCUGCGAUAAGCGUCGGUAAGGUGAUAUGAACCGUUAUAACCGGCGAUUUCCGAAUGGGGAAACCCAGUGUGAUUCGUCACACUAUCAUUAACUGAAUCCAUAGGUUAAUGAGGCGAACCGGGGGAACUGAAACAUCUAAGUACCCCGAGGAAAAGAAAUCAACCGAGAUUCCCCCAGUAGCGGCGAGCGAACGGGGAGCAGCCCAGAGCCUGAAUCAGUGUGUGUGUUAGUGGAAGCGUCUGGAAAGGCGUGCGAUACAGGGUGACAGCCCCGUACACAAAAAUGCACAUACUGUGAGCUCGAUGAGUAGGGCGGGACACGUGGUAUCCUGUCUGAAUAUGGGGGGACCAUCCUCCAAGGCUAAAUACUCCUGACUGACCGAUAGUGAACCAGUACCGUGAGGGAAAGGCGAAAAGAACCCCGGCGAGGGGAGUGAAAAAGAACCUGAAACCGUGUACGUACAAGCAGUGGGAGCACGCUUAGGCGUGUGACUGCGUACCUUUUGUAUAAUGGGUCAGCGACUUAUAUUCUGUAGCAAGGUUAACCGAAUAGGGGAGCCGAAGGGAAACCGAGUCUUAACUGGGCGUUAAGUUGCAGGGUAUAGACCCGAAACCCGGUGAUCUAGCCAUGGGCAGGUUGAAGGUUGGGUAACACUAACUGGAGGACCGAACCGACUAAUGUUGAAAAAUUAGCGGAUGACUUGUGGCUGGGGGUGAAAGGCCAAUCAAACCGGGAGAUAGCUGGUUCUCCCCGAAAGCUAUUUAGGUAGCGCCUCGUGAAUUCAUCUCCGGGGGUAGAGCACUGUUUCGGCAAGGGGGUCAUCCCGACUUACCAACCCGAUGCAAACUGCGAAUACCGGAGAAUGUUAUCACGGGAGACACACGGCGGGUGCUAACGUCCGUCGUGAAGAGGGAAACAACCCAGACCGCCAGCUAAGGUCCCAAAGUCAUGGUUAAGUGGGAAACGAUGUGGGAAGGCCCAGACAGCCAGGAUGUUGGCUUAGAAGCAGCCAUCAUUUAAAGAAAGCGUAAUAGCUCACUGGUCGAGUCGGCCUGCGCGGAAGAUGUAACGGGGCUAAACCAUGCACCGAAGCUGCGGCAGCGACGCUUAUGCGUUGUUGGGUAGGGGAGCGUUCUGUAAGCCUGUGAAGGUGUGCUGUGAGGUAUGCUGGAGGUAUCAGAAGUGCGAAUGCUGACAUAAGUAACGAUAAAGCGGGUGAAAAGCCCGCUCGCCGGAAGACCAAGGGUUCCUGUCCAACGUUAAUCGGGGCAGGGUGAGUCGACCCCUAAGGCGAGGCCGAAAGGCGUAGUCGAUGGGAAACAGGUUAAUAUUCCUGUACUUGGUGUUACUGCGAAGGGGGGACGGAGAAGGCUAUGUUGGCCGGGCGACGGUUGUCCCGGUUUAAGCGUGUAGGCUGGUUUUCCAGGCAAAUCCGGAAAAUCAAGGCCGAGGCGUGAUGACGAGGCACUACGGUGCUGAAGCAACAAAUGCCCUGCUUCCAGGAAAAGCCUCUAAGCAUCAGGUAACAUCAAAUCGUACCCCAAACCGACACAGGUGGUCAGGUAGAGAAUACCAAGGCGCUUGAGAGAACUCGGGUGAAGGAACUAGGCAAAAUGGUGCCGUAACUUCGGGAGAAGGCACGCUGAUACGUAGGUGAAGCGACUUGCUCGUGGAGCUGAAAUCAGUCGAAGAUACCAGCUGGCUGCAACUGUUUAUUAAAAACACAGCACUGUGCAAACACGAAAGUGGACGUAUACGGUGUGACGCCUGCCCGGUGCCGGAAGGUUAAUUGAUGGGGUUAGCGCAAGCGAAGCUCUUGAUCGAAGCCCCGGUAAACGGCGGCCGUAACUAUAACGGUCCUAAGGUAGCGAAAUUCCUUGUCGGGUAAGUUCCGACCUGCACGAAUGGCGUAAUGAUGGCCAGGCUGUCUCCACCCGAGACUCAGUGAAAUUGAACUCGCUGUGAAGAUGCAGUGUACCCGCGGCAAGACGGAAAGACCCCGUGAACCUUUACUAUAGCUUGACACUGAACAUUGAGCCUUGAUGUGUAGGAUAGGUGGGAGGCUUUGAAGUGUGGACGCCAGUCUGCAUGGAGCCGACCUUGAAAUACCACCCUUUAAUGUUUGAUGUUCUAACGUGGACCCGUGAUCCGGGUUGCGGACAGUGUCUGGUGGGUAGUUUGACUGGGGCGGUCUCCUCCUAAAGAGUAACGGAGGAGCACGAAGGUUGGCUAAUCCUGGUCGGACAUCAGGAGGUUAGUGCAAUGGCAUAAGCCAGCUUGACUGCGAGCGUGACGGCGCGAGCAGGUGCGAAAGCAGGUCAUAGUGAUCCGGUGGUUCUGAAUGGAAGGGCCAUCGCUCAACGGAUAAAAGGUACUCCGGGGAUAACAGGCUGAUACCGCCCAAGAGUUCAUAUCGACGGCGGUGUUUGGCACCUCGAUGUCGGCUCAUCACAUCCUGGGGCUGAAGUAGGUCCCAAGGGUAUGGCUGUUCGCCAUUUAAAGUGGUACGCGAGCUGGGUUUAGAACGUCGUGAGACAGUUCGGUCCCUAUCUGCCGUGGGCGCUGGAGAACUGAGGGGGGCUGCUCCUAGUACGAGAGGACCGGAGUGGACGCAUCACUGGUGUUCGGGUUGUCAUGCCAAUGGCACUGCCCGGUAGCUAAAUGCGGAA
Molecule: ribosomal RNA, 2743 nt
Filed under: Shigella flexneri
Lineage: Bacteria; Pseudomonadati; Pseudomonadota; Gammaproteobacteria; Enterobacterales; Enterobacteriaceae
Description: partial 23S ribosomal RNA
Rfam family: Bacterial large subunit ribosomal RNA
Source: RNAcentral